ACCGGGCAUGGUGGCUCACGCCUGUAAUCCUAGCACUUUGGGAGGCCGGGGUGGGUGGAUCACCUGAGGUCAGGAGUUCAAAACCAGCCUGGCCAUCAGGAUGAAACCCCAUCUUUUUAUUUAUUUAUUUAUAAAAACAUAAAGAUGGGGUUUCACCAUGAUGGCCAGGCUGGUUUUGAACUCCUGACCUCAGGUGAUCCACCCACCCCGG
Molecule: unclassified non-coding RNA, 211 nt
Organism: Callithrix jacchus (white-tufted-ear marmoset)
Lineage: Eukaryota; Metazoa; Chordata; Mammalia; Primates; Cebidae
Rfam family: Metazoan signal recognition particle RNA
About the family: The signal recognition particle (SRP) is a universally conserved ribonucleoprotein.
Source: Ensembl